UACGUAGGUGGCAAGCGUUGUCCGGAAUUAUUGGGCGUAAAGUGUGCGCAGGUGGCCGCGCAAGUCGAGUGUGAAAUCCCCGGGCUUAACUUGGGAAUUGCGCUCGAAACUACGUGGCUCGAGUGUGGCAGAGGAAGGUGGAAUUCCACGUGUAGCGGUGAAAUGCGUAGAGAUGUGGAGGAACACCGAUGGCGAAGGCAGCCUUCUGGGCCAACACUGACGCUCAUGCACGAAAGCGUGGGGAGCAAACAGG
RNAcentral lists this ribosomal RNA (253 nucleotides) under uncultured bacterium. RNAcentral's name for it is "partial 16S ribosomal RNA". It matches the Rfam family "Bacterial small subunit ribosomal RNA", at positions 524 to 776 of the family's 1533-position model. The record is from RNAcentral.